Molecule: ribosomal RNA, 465 nt
Filed under: uncultured bacterium
Lineage: Bacteria
Description: bacterial SSU rRNA
Rfam family: Bacterial small subunit ribosomal RNA
Source: RNAcentral
CCUACGGGGGGCUGCAGUAGGGAAUCUUCCGCAAUGGACGAAAGUCUGACGGAGCAACGCCGCGUGAGCGAAGAAGGCCUUCGGGUCGUAAAGCUCUGUUGUCAGGGAAGAACAAGUAUCGGAGUAACUGCCGGUACCUUGACGGUACCUGACGAGAAAGCCACGGCUAACUACGUGCCAGCAGCCGCGGUAAUACGUAGGUGGCAAGCGUUGUCCGGCAUUAUUGGGGGUAAAGCGCGCGCAGGCGGUCCUUUAAGUCUGAUGUGAAAGCCCCCGGCUCAACCGGGGAGGGUAAUUGGAAGCGUGGGGACUUGGGGGAGAGGGAGGGAGGUAGACGCCACCGGGGAGGGUGGAAUGGCGAGGGGAUGGGGAGGAACAGAGGUGGCGAAGGGGGGUGCCGGCCGUAUAGCUGACUCUGAGGCGGGAAAGGUUGGGGAGGAAAGAGGUUGAGCGACCCUAGGGGUC